This 1477-nucleotide long non-coding RNA is filed under the name Equus asinus (donkey). Its description in RNAcentral is "lncRNA (ENSEASG00005025899.1)". The record is from RNAcentral. Lineage: Eukaryota; Metazoa; Chordata; Mammalia; Perissodactyla; Equidae.
CUCUCAGUUGACUGCCAACUAACGGUGUGUUUUCGCCAUGAAUCUUGAUCUUCUGGCAUGGGACAUUCUGAGAUUUGGUUACCAGCAAAUCUUGUGGCCUGGAAAGUUACAUAACUGAAGGCUUGAUUUUGGAUUUUGCUCUGAAGUUUAGUUUGUGUUCCACCCACAGUAAUUAACAUAACCCUCUUGAAAGCGGAAACCAGGUCUGUCUUAGCCUCUUUGGUUUGUCCUCUUUUGCUUACAUAGGGUGGGCAGUUAGAAGAGGGACUCAGCGAAUGUAUAGUCAGGGAUUCAUGCUCAGGAACUUCCCUGAGACUCAGAACACUCCACCUGUAACAACACCGCACCUGAGCAAGGUUUUGGUUGUGCCAUGCCUCGGGACAAGCAGGUAGCAUCCAUAGAAGCUCCCCUCCUACGUUUCAGGUUGGCUCUGGUUAACUCGUUCACUUCGUCAGCAUUUACUGAGCACCUACAAUGAGCUGGGCCCUCAGAGCUGAAUAAGAUACAAACCUACUGCUCCAUGAGGUCAGGAUGUAAUGGAGGAAGGGGCAGUUUCAUCGAUCACGACUACAUAGUGUGGCAGGUAUUUACAAAAAUAUUUUCUAACUGUGAGAAGAGUCACUACGUCUUUGUCAUUCACAAAUUGAUCCAACACUUUCGUUAUCCUCGUAUAUUUCAUCCCGGCAUAAUCUCUUUAUCCGAGCUGCAGAGGAGAGAGUGCAAUUUGACUCCAAAUUAUGAGGACAGUCCCCAAAACACUCCUACGUGGACCAGAAAAGAUGGCAGGCUAGAGACAUCCAAAGAAAGCGAGGACCGAUCCGAGUCUCCCAGGGAGGGGCAUGACCUCUGGACUCCAGGAGCGCUAAUAUUGGCAGCAUCCAAACGUCCUUAAAGAAGGCCAUUAAGUUAGCUAAGCACAUUUACCUGGAACUUAAAUCGUGAUUCCCUUAUAUUUGGUAAGUUGUUAAGACUACGUGAUGCCAAUGAGCUUUUAUUAUAGUCACCAUCAGCAUGUGCAGUUAGGAAGGCUGCCCCGUCUGUUCUCCACUGAAGUGCUUCUCAGCAGAAAUCCUCCACACCUUCUUCAAAAGUCUCUAAUGACAAGUUUACGUUUGGAGGCCUUCAGUCACCCACUUUCACCCUCUUUCUCAAAGCUCUCAGUUGACUGCCAACUAACGGUGUGUUUUCGCCAUGAAUCUUGAUCUUCUGGCAUGGGACAUUCUGAGAUUUGGUUACCAGCAAAUCUUGUGGCCUGGAAAGUUACAUAACUGAAGGCUUGAUUUUGGAUUUUGCUCUGAAGUUUAGUUUGUGUUCCACCCACAGUAAUUAACAUAACCCUCUUGAAAGCGGAAACCAGGUCUGUCUUAGCCUCUUUGGUUUGUCCUCUUUUGCUUACAUAGGGUGGGCAGUUAGAAGAGGGACUCAGCGAAUGUAUAGUCAGGGAUUCAUGCUCAGGAACUUCCCUGAGACUCAGAAC